RNAcentral lists this long non-coding RNA (2844 nucleotides) under Marmota monax (woodchuck). The record is from RNAcentral. Lineage: Eukaryota; Metazoa; Chordata; Mammalia; Rodentia; Sciuridae.
AAUGAAGUUUAUGAAGUACUUAGGGAUUGGGUGAUUAAUCCUUAGAGAAAUUGUGCCCUCUCAGGGGAUGAUGGACUAAAGGACACCACUGUGUUCUCUUAUCCGAAGCAUCAUGGUCUUAUAUGGAAGACUGGCUUAUGUAUCAUUGAUCUGACCAAGAUGACAUUUUGUUUUUUCAAAAACAUUUUUUAUUUGUUCUUUUUAGAUAUACCAAGAAAACAUUUUUCUUGUAAAUGUGGCACUGAGUGGGGGAAUUCACUUAAAACUAUAGCCAAAGUGACCUGUGACUUUGAAUGUCAAAGAGAGGAUUGGAAUGUAGCCUGAAAAUGUAUUCGUUAUUAAGUGUGCCAGAUACUACACUCAGUGUUUCUCUCUAAAUAGUAUUUUUAUUGUUCCCUUGUUGCAGGUGAAAAAUGGACUUAAAUGGGGAUUGAAGGUGUAGUUCAGUGGUAGAGUACACACUUUGCUUACACAGAACUCUGGGUUCAAUCCCUAGCACUACCCCCCCAUCCCCACAAAAAAGAGGUUAAAUGGAACUUGUUCAAGGUCUCACACAGAGAGUAAGUGGCAGAACUGUCUAACUGAUUCCAGAACCCAUGUGCUUUCCAAUUUAGGAACUUAACAAAUUGUGAUGUACUUUUAUCUGGAAAAAGGACUGGAAAAGAUAUUCUCAGUCCAGAGGAGGGGAAAACCCAAAACAGAGAAGAGUUGCCCUCAGUACCUAUGGCAAGGAACAGAAGGAGCUAAACCUGGCAGAUAAAAUGUGGGUCCCAGGGAAGGUUUCUUGGAUGUGGGUUAGGGAUGAUUCCACAGGCCUCACUGGGUCUUGAUAAAUCUUCUUCACUUUGUUCUUGUCCCAGACCUGCCAGCAACAUUUACAUUAAUCAUUUGUUUUCAUAUAUACCAAAAUUAUCAGAGCUGGAUGCGGUGGUGCAUGCCUGUAAUCCCAGUGGCUCCAGAGGCUAAAGUAGGAGGAUCGAGAGUUCAAAGCCAGCCUCAGCAAAAGCUAGGCACUAAGUAACUCAGUGAGGCCCUGUCUCUAAUAAAAUACAAAACAGGACUGGGGAUGUGGCUCAAUGGGUGAGUGCCCCUAAAUUUAAUCCUCAGUACCUGCUCCCACCAAAAAAAAAAAAACAACAACUCAGAAAAGGAGGGCUUUGGAUAGUGGAUAUGAUCACUUUAGUCACUGGAAAGGACUGGUAUUUCAAACCCUCAUUCAGCCCAACUCUUCAUUCUCUAACAGGUUUCUAUGUUAGUCUCAAGUUAGCUGGGGUAGGAUGAGUUGGUUCCUCUGGUCUGUUCAGUUCUAGGGUAGUGAUAAGAUCCAGUUUGCAAAGAUGAGACCCACACUUUUGGUGGUGACAUUGGCAGCAAGAUGGAGGUUCUAGGGGAGCAAUCACAGGGCCAGGUGCCAGCAAUGAAGGUGGAGGCUGCAGGGUUAUGCCCAGUAGUGGAGGUAGCAGGGGCAUCUUACAUGAUAUAGGAGUGUCCCAUGAUUUUGAAUGCUGUAGUAGUAUUUUAAGCUGGGUUUGGUUUUUCAGACCUCCUGCUGAAUUUGAACUAUCCAUCCAUUUACAUUAACUCUGUUCCUUUGUCAGGAUUCUAGACUUGUAUGCUUAUGUGCACAUAGUCAAAGCAGAUUAAGAUUAGAAAACCAAUUGAAAGGGUAACUAGGCCAGGCUGUCAUAGCAUCCUCAACCUGGUCUAUUUUCACCUAGAUUAGAUUUUUCUUAGGAUUGAUGGUAGAAAAGGAAAAUGUUUUAGUAAGUUUGGGGUUGUUAAAAUUGGUACAGUAUUAGAUACCAUUUUGCUUUUAGUUAUCACCUACUUUCUUUGCCUAAUGGGAAUUUUCCUAAAUAUUUCUGGGGAAAAUUUAACCCUGCCAGAAUUUAUUGAAAAAUACAACUCAUCCCCAAAUAACAUGGAGCUGGGGACAUGGUUCAGUGAUAAAGUUCCUUGGCAUAUGUAUGGAUUUGAUCCUCAGCACCAAAAAAAAAAAAAAAGAAAUGAGAACCUGUCAGGAGCUGCCACAUGGGAACUGAGUGCCCCUUAGCUUUGAGUGAUUAGAGUGGGGAGAUGUGGCAAGCCAGCCAUGGGCUGUGUGUGUGUGUGUGUGAACUAUGAGCAUUGAGUGCACAGGGUGGACUGAACCGAUGUUGCUCCUCUGUUUGGGCGGGCGAUGUAUCCGUCUUUUUGCUCCUUCUGCCUAUGAUCCCCACACAGCCCAUGAGAUGGGCGUGACCUUCCUAGAUGUCAGUCAACCUUCUGACAGCAAGACAUCACAAAUCAACCCCCUGAAACCCUAAGCAAGACUCAACCCCCUGAAACUGGUCCCCUUGCCUCAUUUAAAUGGCUUAUCCCCAAUAAAAGGGUUCAGUACGUGCUGAACUAAUACUGGUAGGCUCUCUUUCUUGCCUGCCUUGCCCCCCUUAUGGGAGCUGUGGCUGAGGAGCAGUCACUGAACCCAAAGAAAAGGUACUUUCUGUGUCUGUGUCUUAUUUAUUCCCCAAAUUCACUUGGAGUAACCCUGACCGGUUUAGUUGUGUGAUGUGACAAGAACCUUAAACCAUGACUCUAUGUAGCAGAUUAGUAAUGCCCAGUCAUUACACCAGCAAUCAUUUUAGCUCUUUAUUUCUAUAUGUACAUUUCUUAGCACUAUACACACAUGGAUGAUUCCAGUUGGCUUUGCCUUAUUUCUUUGUUUUUAUCAGUUUGCUCUUAGGAACACUUGGAAAUAGAGGAAUGGUUAAAAGCACAGGAGAAUGUGGAUGAUAUACAGAUUUGGAUUUAAUGUGGGAAUGAAAGGGAUGAUGGGAAAUGUUGCAGCUUUGUCAUGGUUUCUAU